CCUACGGGUGACAGCAGUGAGGAAUAUUGGUCAAUGGGCGCGAGCCUGAACCAGCCAAGUCGCGUGAAGGAUGACUGCCCUACGGGUUGUAAACUUCUUUUAUAAAGGAAUAAAGUGAGGCACGUGUGCCUUUUUGUAUGUACUUUAUCAAUAAGGAUCGGCUAACUCCGCGCCAGCAGCCGCGGUAAUACGGAGGAUCUGAGCGUUAUCCGGAUUUAUUGGGGUUAAAGGGAGCGUAGAUGGGUUGUUAAGUCAGUUGUGAAAGUUUGCGGCUCAACCGUAAAAUUGCAAUUGAUACUGGCAGCCUUGAGUACAGUUGAGGUAGGCGGAAUUCGUGGUGUAGCGGUGAAAUGCGUAGAUAUCACGAAGAACACCGAUUGCGAAGGUAGCUUACUAAACUGCCACUGACAUUGAUGCUCGAAAGUGUGGGUAUCAAACAGGAUUAGAUACCCGAGUAGUC
This 460-nucleotide ribosomal RNA is filed under the name uncultured bacterium. RNAcentral's name for it is "partial 16S ribosomal RNA". It matches the Rfam family "Bacterial small subunit ribosomal RNA", at positions 338 to 795 of the family's 1533-position model. The record is from RNAcentral.